GACGUAGGGCGCGAGCGUUGUCCGGAUUUAUUGGGCGUAAAGAGCUCGUAGGCGGCUUGUCGCGUCGAAUGUGAAAACUCGGGGCUCAACUCCAAGCUUGCAUUCGAUACGGGCAGGCUAGAGUUCGGUAGGGGAGACUGGAAUUCCUGGUGUAGCGGUGAAAUGCGCAGAUAUCAGGAGGAACACCCGUGGCGAAGGCGGCUCUCUGGGACGGUACUGACGCUGAGACGCGAAAGCGUGGGGAGCGAACAGG
Molecule: ribosomal RNA, 253 nt
Filed under: uncultured bacterium
Lineage: Bacteria
Description: partial 16S ribosomal RNA
Rfam family: Bacterial small subunit ribosomal RNA
Source: RNAcentral